RNAcentral lists this ribosomal RNA (661 nucleotides) under Salmonella enterica. RNAcentral describes it as "partial 23S ribosomal RNA". It matches the Rfam family "Bacterial large subunit ribosomal RNA", at positions 1 to 677 of the family's 2925-position model. The record is from RNAcentral. Lineage: Bacteria; Pseudomonadati; Pseudomonadota; Gammaproteobacteria; Enterobacterales; Enterobacteriaceae. RNAcentral also lists the same sequence under 2 other names.
GGGUUGUGAGGUUAAGCGACUAAGCGUACACGGUGGAUGCCCUGGCAGUCAGAGGCGAUGAAGGGCGUGCUAAUCUGCGAUAAGCGCCGGUAAGGUGAUAUGAACCGUUAUAACCGGCGAUACCCGAAUGGGGAAACCCAGUGUGACUCGUCACACUAUCAUUAACUGAAUCCAUAGGUUAAUGAGGCGAACCGGGGGAACUGAAACAUCUAAGUACCCCGAGGAAAAGAAAUCAACCGAGAUUCCCCCAGUAGCGGCGAGCGAACGGGGAGGAGCCCAGAGCCUGAAUCAGCAUAUGUGUUAGUGGAAGCGUCUGGAAAGGCGCGCGAUACAGGGUGACAGCCCCGUACACAAAAGCGCAUGUGCUGUGAGCUCGAUGAGUAGGGCGGGACACGUGGUAUCCUGUCUGAAUAUGGGGGGACCAUCCUCCAAGGCUAAAUACUCCUGACUGACCGAUAGUGAACCAGUACCGUGAGGGAAAGGCGAAAAGAACCCCGGCGAGGGGAGUGAAAAAGAACCUGAAACCGUGUACGUACAAGCAGUGGGAGCCCCACCACUAAGCCAGUGGUGAACUCCACAUACGCAUCCUUUGCUGAGGAUACGGUUAACGGAGCGAAAGCGACGUUCAACCUCAAAAGAAGCAGAGGGGGCUUAGUGGUGG